UUAGAGUUUGAUCCAUGGCUCAGGACGAACGCUGGCGGCGUGCCUAACACAUGCAAGUCAGGGGGAAAGGGGUAGCAAUAUCCCGAGUACACCGGCGAACGGGUGAGUAACACGUAGGCAACUUACCCUGUGGACGGGGAUAACCCCGGGAAACCGGAGCUAAUACUCCGAUGAUAUUCCGGCGCGGCAUCGUGUCGGAAUGAAAAGUGGCGUCUUUGACGCCACGCCACAAGAUGGGCCUGCGUCCCAUUAGCUCGUUGGCGGGGUAACGGCCCACCAAGGCUACGAUGGGUAGCUGGUCUGAGAGGAUGGUCAGCCACACUGGAACUGAGACACGGUCCAGACUUCUACGGAAGGCAGCAGUGAGGAAUAUUGCUCAAUGGGCGAAAGCCUGAAGCAGCGACGCCGCGUGAGGGAUGAAAUCCGUCAGGAUGUAAACCUCUUUUCUUAGGGAAGAAUGUCCCGCCUUCGGGCGGGAUUGACGGACCUGAGGAAUAAGCCCCGCCA
RNAcentral lists this ribosomal RNA (507 nucleotides) under uncultured bacterium. RNAcentral describes it as "bacterial SSU rRNA". It matches the Rfam family "Bacterial small subunit ribosomal RNA", at positions 1 to 498 of the family's 1533-position model. The record is from RNAcentral.